AAUGGGCGCAAGCCUGAUCUAGCCAUGCCGCGUGAGUGAUGAAGGCCUUAGGGUCGUAAAGCUCUUUCGCCUGUGAUGAUAAUGACUGUAUCAGGUAAAGAAACCCCGGCUAACUCCGUGCCAGCAGCCGCGGUAAUACGGAGGGGGUUAGCGUUGUUCGGAAUUACUGGGCGUAAAGCGCGCGUAGGCGGACAUUUAAGUCAGAGGUGAAAUCCCAGGGCUCAACCCUGGAACUGCCUUUGAUACUGGGUGUCUUGAGUUCGAGAGAGGUGAGUGGAAUUCCGAGUGUAGAGGUGAAAUUCGUAGAUAUUCGGAGGAACACCAGUGGCGAAGGCGGCUCACUGGCUCGAUACUGACGCUGAGGUGCGAAAGUGUGGGGAGCAAACAGGAUUAGAUACCCUGGUAGUCCACACCGUAAACGAUGAAUGCCAGUCGUCGGGCAGUAUACUGUUCGGUGACACACCUAACGGAUUAAGCAUUCCGCCUGGGGAGUACGGUCGC
This 501-nucleotide ribosomal RNA is filed under the name uncultured bacterium. Its description in RNAcentral is "bacterial SSU rRNA". It matches the Rfam family "Bacterial small subunit ribosomal RNA", at positions 370 to 889 of the family's 1533-position model. The record is from RNAcentral.